GUGGGUCUUGAACAGGCCCAGAGGCGCAAUGAAAGUGAAGGAUGCCCGUGCCGGCAUCUGCGUUGGGAUCCCGGGACCCAGGUCCCGGGCGCACCAACGGCCCGUCCCGCCCGCCUCGUCGGGGGGACGGAGCGAGAGCGUACACGUUGGGACCCGAAAGAUGGUGAACUAUGCCUGGGCAGGACGAGGCCAGAGGAAACUCUGGUGGAGGUCCGCAGCGAUUCUGACGUGCAAAUCGAUCGUCAGACCUUGGUAUAGGGGCGAUNGACUANUCNANCCGUCUAGUAGCU
Molecule: ribosomal RNA, 290 nt
Filed under: Buthacus yotvatensis
Lineage: Eukaryota; Metazoa; Arthropoda; Arachnida; Scorpiones; Buthidae
Description: partial large subunit ribosomal RNA
Rfam family: Eukaryotic large subunit ribosomal RNA
Source: RNAcentral